GGACUCUACAGAAUUCCCCAAUAUAGUAGGUAGUGAAAUCCAAACUAUAAAGCACAUUAAGUACAAUUCUUUAUCUAUCUUGAUGAUUCCAAUUCUCUAUUUCAUUCUAAAAAUUCAAAUAACCAGAUUUCACUUGUUUUAAGGUACGAGCAGAUAUGAAACAAUAUCAGGAAGAAGGAUCUACCUUCACUGCCCUGAAACUCAGGAUAAGAUACUAAACAUUCUUUUCAACUUAGUUUAAGAUACAGUACACGGAUAAGGUAAUUACAUACACUUGGCAAUAUAAUAAAGUGACUGACAUCUUUAUUGGGAGAUAAAAAAAUUAUUCCCUCAGGGUGGGGCAUCUGGCUAAAGACUUGUCAGUAUGCUUUCCUGUAUAAUUUAGAUCUCAGAAGCAGAAAAGGCGUUUCAAAAACAAAUCAAGGAAGCUCCAUCAAGCGGUAAAAAUCGGGUCUGGGGGAGACAAUGAGACUGGAGCGUUGUUUUAAACACCCGAAAUCCUCGGAUCUCCGAAGAGAAACUUAGCUGGGCUUUCUUCUAAUUAGCUAAAGAGAAAGUGAAAUACUGGCGUUCCCAGUGAGCUCCUCCAGUCCAGUGAUAUUUGCACAUCACACCAGGACCUUUCGGUUGCAAAUCUACCUCCUUAAGGAGCUGUGUGAAAAAGCAAGAACAAUCAAUAAGAAAAAAAUCCUCUCAGCUAUAAAUCAGCCACGUGGAGCUGCUGCUGCUGCAGCGGUAGCCCUGACUUCCUGGUUUGCUUCCUGCAAGCCUUGCGGCUGGGGGCUCCGGGCAGUGGGUGUAAGAAAAGCAGGGGGCGUGGGGGGAGGGGGCAGCCUAGAACCGCUCCAGGGCCGCCGGGGGACGGGGACGGGGGCGGCGGGCCGGGAGAUCCUGAAGGGCACGGGCGUUAAGGACAGUUACGGCCCAUAAUUAAAUAAAAGUUCGGGAAUCUGGAAGCUUUAAGAGCUGAGCUGUGGGGCAAAGGCUAAAGAGCAGAAGUGGGGAAAGUGUAAGUUAGUUACAGGGGCAUUGCGAAGGGGGUGCGUGUGGACAGUGUGGACAGAAGGGGACUGCGGAUCUGGAAGGGGGCAGGUAGAGAGAAAGGACGCUUAGAAGAGCCAGGCUCCCGGGCCACUCGGCGCUCUGCGGAGGCCGCCGGGGGGAGGGGGGCGGUGGCGGAGGAGCGCGGGCCGAGCCUGC
RNAcentral lists this long non-coding RNA (1200 nucleotides) under Equus caballus (horse). RNAcentral describes it as "lncRNA (ENSECAG00000055727.1)". Lineage: Eukaryota; Metazoa; Chordata; Mammalia; Perissodactyla; Equidae. The record is from RNAcentral.